AGGGCGCACGGUGGAUGCCUUGACACUAGGAGUCGAUGAAGGACGGGACUAACGCCGAUAUGCUUCGGGGAGCUGUAAGUAAGCUUUGAUCCGAAGAUUUCCGAAUGGGGAAACCCACCAUACGUAAUGGUAUGGUAUCCUUAUCUGAAUACAUAGGGUAAGGAAGACAGACCCAGGGAACUGAAACAUCUAAGUACCUGGAGGAAGAGAAAGCAAAUGCGAUUUCCUGAGUAGCGGCGAGCGAAACGGAACAUAGCCCAAACCAAGAGGCUUGCCUCUUGGGGUUGUAGGACAUUCUAUACGGAGUUACAAAGGAACGAGGUAGACGAAGCGACCUGGAAAGGUCCGUCGUAGAGGGUAACAACCCCGUAGUCGAAACUUCGUUCUCUCUUGAAUGUAUCCUGAGUACGGCGGAACACGUGAAAUUCCGUCGGAAUCUGGGAGGACCAUCUCCCAAGGCUAAAUACUCCCUAGUGAUCGAUAGUGAACCAGUACCGUGAGGGAAAGGUGAAAAGCACCCCGGAAGGGGAGUGAAAGAGAUCCUGAAACCGUGUGCCUACAAAUAGUCAGAGCCCGUUAACGGGUGAUGGCGUGCCUUUUGUAGAAUGAACCGGCGAGUUACGAUCCCGUGCGAGGUUAAGCUGAAGAGGCGGAGCCGCAGCGAAAGCGAGUCUGAAUAGGGCGUUUAGUACGUGGUCGUAGACCCGAAACCAGGUGAUCUACCCAUGUCCAGGGUGAAGUUCAGGUAACACUGAAUGGAGGCCCGAACCCACGCACGUUGAAAAGUGCGGGGAUGAGGUGUGGGUAGCGGAGAAAUUCCAAUCGAACCUGGAGAUAGCUGGUUCUCCCCGAAAUAGCUUUAGGGCUAGCCUUAAGUGUAAGAGUCUUGGAGGUAGAGCACUGAUUGGACUAGGGGUCCUCAUCGGAUUACCGAAUUCAGUCAAACUCCGAAUGCCAAUGACUUAUCCUUAGGAGUCAGACUGCGAGUGAUAAGAUCCGUAGUCAAAAGGGAAACAGCCCAGACCGCCAGCUAAGGUCCCAAAGUGUGUAUUAAGUGGAAAAGGAUGUGGAGUUGCUUAGACAACUAGGAUGUUGGCUUAGAAGCAGCCACCAUUUAAAGAGUGCGUAAUAGCUCACUAGUCGAGUGACUCUGCGCCGAAAAUGUACCGGGGCUAAAUACACCACCGAAGCUGCGGAUUGAUACCAAUGGUAUCAGUGGUAGGGGAGCGUUCUAAGGACAGUGAAGUCAGACCGGAAGGACUGGUGGAGUGCUUAGAAGUGAGAAUGCCGGUAUGAGUAGCGAAAGACGGGUGAGAAUCCCGUCCACCGAAUGCCUAAGGUUUCCUGAGGAAGGCUCGUCCGCUCAGGGUUAGUCAGGACCUAAGCCGAGGCCGACAGGCGUAGGCGAUGGACAACAGGUUGAUAUUCCUGUACCACCUCUUUAUCGUUUGAGCAAUGGAGGGACGCAGAAGGAUAGAAGAAGCGUGCGAUUGGUUGUGCACGUCCAAGCAGUUAGGCUGAUAAGUAGGCAAAUCCGCUUAUCGUAAAGGCUGAGCUGUGAUGGGGAAGCUCCUUAUGGAGCGAAGUCUUUGAUUCCCCGCUGCCAAGAAAAGCUUCUAGCGAGAUAAAAGGUGCCUGUACCGCAAACCGACACAGGUAGGCGAGGAGAGAAUCCUAAGGUGUGCGAGAGAACUCUGGUUAAGGAACUCGGCAAAAUGACCCCGUAACUUCGGGAGAAGGGGUGCUUUCUUAACGGAAAGCCGCAGUGAAUAGGCCCAAGCGACUGUUUAGCAAAAACACAGCUCUCUGCGAAGCCGUAAGGCGAAGUAUAGGGGGUGACACCUGCCCGGUGCUGGAAGGUUAAGGAGAGGGGUUAGCGUAAGCGAAGCUCUGAACUGAAGCCCCAGUAAACGGCGGCCGUAACUAUAACGGUCCUAAGGUAGCGAAAUUCCUUGUCGGGUAAGUUCCGACCCGCACGAAAGGUGUAACGAUUUGGGCACUGUCUCAACCAGAGACUCGGUGAAAUUAUAGUACCUGUGAAGAUGCAGGUUACCCGCGACAGGACGGAAAGACCCCGUGGAGCUUUACUGUAGCCUGAUAUUGAAUUUUGGUACAGUUUGUACAGGAUAGGCGGGAGCCAUUGAAACCGGAGCGCUAGCUUCGGUGGAGGCGCUGGUGGGAUACCGCCCUGACUGUAUUGAAAUUCUAACCUACGGGUCUUAUCGACCCGGGAGACAGUGUCAGGUGGGCAGUUUGACUGGGGCGGUCGCCUCCUAAAGUGUAACGGAGGCGCCCAAAGGUUCCCUCAGAAUGGUUGGAAAUCAUUCGUAGAGUGCAAAGGCAUAAGGGAGCUUGACUGCGAGACCUACAAGUCGAGCAGGGACGAAAGUCGGGCUUAGUGAUCCGGUGGUUCCGCAUGGAAGGGCCAUCGCUCAACGGAUAAAAGCUACCCCGGGGAUAACAGGCUUAUCUCCCCCAAGAGUCCACAUCGACGGGGAGGUUUGGCACCUCGAUGUCGGCUCAUCGCAUCCUGGGGCUGUAGUCGGUCCCAAGGGUUGGGCUGUUCGCCCAUUAAAGCGGUACGCGAGCUGGGUUCAGAACGUCGUGAGACAGUUCGGUCCCUAUCCGUCGUGGGCGUAGGAAAUUUGAGAGGAGCUGUCCUUAGUACGAGAGGACCGGGAUGGACGCACCGCUGGUGUACCAGUUGUUCUGCCAAGGGCAUAGCUGGGUAGCUAUGUGCGGAAGGGAUAAGUGCUGAAAGCAUCUAAGCAUGAAGCCCCCCUCAAGAUGAGAUUUCCCAUAGCGUAAGCUAGUAAGAUCCCUGAAAGAUGAUCAGGUUGAUAGGUUCGAGGUGGAAGCAUGGUGACAUGUGGAGCUGACGAAUACUAAUAGAUCGAGGACUUAACC
This 2907-nucleotide ribosomal RNA is filed under the name Bacillus cereus. RNAcentral describes it as "bacterial LSU rRNA". It matches the Rfam family "Bacterial large subunit ribosomal RNA". Lineage: Bacteria; Bacillati; Bacillota; Bacilli; Caryophanales; Bacillaceae. The record is from RNAcentral.